ACUCUCGGCAACGGAUAUCUCGGCUCUUGCAUCGAUGAAGAACGUAGCAAAAUGCGAUACUUGGUGUGAAUUGCAGAAUCCCGUGAACCAUCGAGUCUUUGAACGCAAGUUGCGCCUGAAGCCAUUAGGUUGAAGGCACGUCUGCCUGGGCGUC
This 154-nucleotide ribosomal RNA is filed under the name Rhododendron griersonianum. RNAcentral describes it as "5.8S ribosomal RNA". It matches the Rfam family "5.8S ribosomal RNA". Rfam says of the family: 5.8S ribosomal RNA (5.8S rRNA) is a component of the large subunit of the eukaryotic ribosome. It is transcribed by RNA polymerase I as part of the 45S precursor that also contains 18S and 28S rRNA. Lineage: Eukaryota; Viridiplantae; Streptophyta; Magnoliopsida; Ericales; Ericaceae. The record is from RNAcentral.